GGCACCUGUUACCCCACUGAUCUUCAGGGUUGAUUUGGCUGAUCUGGCUGGCUAGGUAGGUGUC
Molecule: small RNA, 64 nt
Filed under: Mesocricetus auratus (golden hamster)
Lineage: Eukaryota; Metazoa; Chordata; Mammalia; Rodentia; Cricetidae
Description: 7SK RNA (ENSMAUG00000003744.1)
Rfam family: 7SK RNA
About the family: 7SK was discovered as an abundant small nuclear RNA in the mid-70s but a possible function has only recently been suggested. Two independent studies have found that 7SK RNA binds the CDK9/cyclin T complex (known as elongation factor P-TEFb).
Source: RNAcentral